CGAACGGGUGAGUAACGCGUGAGGAACCUGCCUCAAAGAGGGGGACAACAGUUGGAAACGACUGCUAAUACCGCAUAAGCCCACGGGUCGGCAUCGACCAGAGGGAAAAGGAGCAAUCCGCUUUGAGAUGGCCUUGCGUCCGAUUAGCUAGUUGGUGAGGUAAUGGCCCACCAAGGCAACGAUCGGUAGCCGGACUGAGAGGUUGAACGGCCACAUUGGGACUGAGACACGGCCCAG
RNAcentral lists this ribosomal RNA (237 nucleotides) under uncultured bacterium. Its description in RNAcentral is "partial 16S ribosomal RNA". It matches the Rfam family "Bacterial small subunit ribosomal RNA", at positions 99 to 334 of the family's 1533-position model. The record is from RNAcentral.